GCUCAGGACGAACGCUGGCGGCGUGCUUAACACAUGCAAGUCGAACGAUGAACCGCUUUCGGGCGGGGAUUAGUGGCGAACGGGUGAGUAACACGUGGGCAAUCUGCCCUGCACUCUGGGACAAGCCCUGGAAACGGGGUCUAAUACCGGAUAUGACUGUCCAUCGCAUGGUGGAUGGUGUAAAGCUCCGGCGGUGCAGGAUGAGCCCGCGGCCUAUCAGCUUGUUGGUGAGGUAGUGGCUCACCAAGGCGACGACGGGUAGCCGGCCUGAGAGGGCGACCGGCCACACUGGGACUGAGACACGGCCCAGACUCCUACGGGAGGCAGCAGUGGGGAAUAUUGCACAAUGGGCGAAAGCCUGAUGCAGCGACGCCGCGUGAGGGAUGACGGCCUUCGGGUUGUAAACCUCUUUCAGCAGGGAAGAAGCGAAAGUGACGGUACCUGCAGAAGAAGCGCCGGCUAACUACGUGCCAGCAGCCGCGGUAAUACGUAGGGCGCAAGCGUUGUCCGGAAUUAUUGGGCGUAAAGAGCUCGUAGGCGGCUUGUCACGUCGGUUGUGAAAGCCCGGGGCUUAACCCCGGGUCUGCAGUCGAUACGGGCAGGCUAGAGUUCGGUAGGGGAGAUCGGAAUUCCUGGUGUAGCGGUGAAAUGCGCAGAUAUCAGGAGGAACACCGGUGGCGAAGGCGGAUCUCUGGGCCGAUACUGACGCUGAGGAGCGAAAGCGUGGGGAGCGAACAGGAUUAGAUACCCUGGUAGUCCACGCCGUAAACGGUGGGCACUA
RNAcentral lists this ribosomal RNA (781 nucleotides) under Streptomyces limosus. Its description in RNAcentral is "bacterial SSU rRNA". It matches the Rfam family "Bacterial small subunit ribosomal RNA", at positions 22 to 818 of the family's 1533-position model. The record is from RNAcentral. Lineage: Bacteria; Bacillati; Actinomycetota; Actinomycetes; Kitasatosporales; Streptomycetaceae.